UUAACUUCAGAGUAAAUACUGCGUCCUUGCCAAUAGGUGGAUCCAACCACGUCAUGAUAAACGGCAACAUUAUCUGACAAAGCCAUCUACAGCAGUAGACUAAACGACACUCAGGAUUCAAAUGGGCUGAGGCGAUUGGUUAGCUCACUCUGGCCAUACUGAAGGAAGGAUGAGAGGUGAUUGGGAAGCUCCUUGCCAUGCACAACCACACAGCUGGAGUCAUUGCUGAGUAUACUGGUGGAGCCAACAGAUGCACUGGAAUUGGGAAAGGUCAAUUUUCCAACUGGAGUCUUGUGACCAUUGGGAUGUCCCCAGAUUCAGUGUUGGGAUCAGAUGGGCUGAAGGACCUGUUUCUAUGCUGUAUAACUCUGUGACUUUCUGAUGCUUUCAAGAAGAGAAUUCCAGAUCACACAACUUGUGUGUAAAAAAAAUUCCAGAGUCUGCAUGGUUCUUGUACCAAUACUUAA
Molecule: long non-coding RNA, 467 nt
Organism: Hypanus sabinus (Atlantic stingray)
Lineage: Eukaryota; Metazoa; Chordata; Chondrichthyes; Myliobatiformes; Dasyatidae
Exons: 3
Source: RefSeq, a predicted model, not a curated record